UCGAGUGACGGACAUAGAGAUAUGUCUUUCCUUCGGGACACGAAGACAGGUGGUGCAUGGUUGUCGUCAGCUCGUGUCGUGAGAUGUUGGGUUAAGUCCCGCAACGAGCGCAACCCUUACCAUUAGUUGCUACGCAAGAGCACUCUAAUGGGACUGCCGUUGACAAAACGGAGGAAGGUGGGGAUGACGUCAAAUCAUCAUGCCCCUUAUGACCUGGGCGACACACGUACUACAAUGGCGGUCAACAGAGGGAGGCAAAGCCGCGAGGCAGAGCAAACCCCUAAAAGCCGUCUCAGUUCGGAUUGCAGGCUGCAACUCGCCUGCAUGAAGUCGGAAUUGCUAGUAAUCGCGGAUCAGCAUGCCGCGGUGAAUACGUUCCCGGGCCUUGUACACACCGCCCGUCACACCAUGAGAGCCGGUAACACCCGAAGUCAAUAGUCUAACCGCAAGGAGGACAUUGCCGAAGGUGGGAUUGGUAAUUGGGGUGAAGUCGUAACAAGGUAGCCGUAUCGGAAGGU
RNAcentral lists this ribosomal RNA (518 nucleotides) under uncultured bacterium. RNAcentral's name for it is "bacterial SSU rRNA". It matches the Rfam family "Bacterial small subunit ribosomal RNA", at positions 987 to 1513 of the family's 1533-position model. The record is from RNAcentral.